CUUUAAUGAAACUUUGGACGACUGCGUCACUUGCACGCCUGGUUGGAACCACCCUUUCUCCUUCGCCCGCAAAGUUUCAGCUCCUAAAUCAUUGAAAAUAACAGCUUAGAAUCGCGUAGAAUCGCUUUACUUGCACAGGACCCCAGGUGGUCCACCUUAUCCACGGAUUUGAACUCUUCUAAGCAAGCAAACACUUUUUUGCACAAUGGAGCAACAAUUUGAUUACUCAGAAGGCCACAUCCUCCCAGAAUUGUCCUUUGGAA
This is a non-coding RNA of Pseudonaja textilis, 263 nucleotides long. NCBI's taxonomy places the organism in Eukaryota, Metazoa, Chordata, Lepidosauria, Squamata, Elapidae. The record is from RefSeq and is a predicted model, not a curated record.